CAGAAGCAAGGAAGUAACUGUUGACAAAGUGAGACGGAAUAGAAGAAAAAGAUGGAAAGAGUCAGAAAGAACAGAAACAUUGAUAUUCAACCAUUUGAAACAAGAAAGAAACUCUAAGCACAGAAGGCAAAGAGAAGUUUGACAUAACCCAAGACAACAUGUUCGUUAAAUUUCAUAGAUGCAAAAGAGAGAAUGCUUCUGUUGCAAAACAUAGAAGUCUUCUGCAAGCAGCUGCCACGCCCAUAUCUCAGAGCCCUAGUGAGUUGUAGAGAAGUUUCAAGAGUUAGAGUAUUUCCUCUGUACAGUAACUAAAAUAAUAAAAGACCACAAUUUUUAUUCAUAAAAA
This is a long non-coding RNA of Homo sapiens (human), 346 nucleotides long. The record is from Ensembl. Lineage: Eukaryota; Metazoa; Chordata; Mammalia; Primates; Hominidae.